AUAUAUACAUAGAUUCUCCAUUUUCCGUUUAAAGAGAAAGAGAAUACUUAAUUGACAUCAGUAUUUGGUAAAUAGAGUUAUUAUGAAUUUUAGGCAGUAAAAUUUCUAUAUAUUUUCACUGAUGAUAAUCUUGUUAAAGCUUUUUUUCUUCAUUGUUUUCAACAUGGCUUUUUUUCUAAUGUAUUUCCUUUAUUAAAAACCUAUUUUGAAAUGUUUUAUUUGAAGGGAUUUUGUAAUUUUCAUGGUAAAGCUUGCAGAUUCAUCAUCUCAUUUUUGUGAUCGACGAUUAGUACUAGCUAGUGCUAAAUAUCAUCAUUGAAGGUUACUGUAUAAUAUAAUGGGUCUUCAAAGAAUAUUCUGUACGUAUAAUUUAAGAUUAUUCAAUAUUUCUUGGUUUUGCGACUCAGUUAUUGGCCCCAAAAUCAUUUGAAUUUGUUCUUCCUUUUCCUUCCCUUCUCUCAAACAUAACGUAUAUAUUGAUAUGUGUGAAUCAUUAUACGUAUAUCUUAAAGGAUAAUGAUGCCGAAAGUGGCUCGAAACUUCUGGUUAGAGAUGAAGAAGGCCACCAUGUGCAGCAAGGAAUAAUAUCGAAGAAGAAGAAGAUAAAAUUUCGUUCCAUCAUUGACCUCUACAAGUGUACUGAUAGGCUCUCACCGGUUGAAGAUGAAUAUAAUUGGAGUUCCCCAGCGGGAAAAAUUCCGAAUACUGAUAUCAGUCAAAGAACUAACAAAAAGAAUGCAAAAAUAUUAAAAUAUUAUCCAGAGGUGAAUUCAGAUGGAGAAAUGAUGGACAAAAAUGGCUGCGUGAAUAAACGAAAGUUUCGACCAAUUGCUGAUAUUUAUGAGUCAACAAAGCCUGUUGGCCGUAACAAGAACAAGCAUUAACUAGAUUGUCAUAUACACUUACUUAGCAGUAAGCAGCCUCUCGCAGAAAUGCAAGGUAAGACUAUAUACAAUACACUCUUGUGGUAGGAACCUUUCCAGGAUACCGUGCAUAGUGAUAGCUUUAAUGCACCGGACUGCCCUUUACUAAGCAGAACCACUAUUUUUCUAGGUGAAUGAAUGUUAAAGGUAUUAAUUAAUGUUAUUAUGGAUUGAAUUUGACAAGUUUUUGGUAUAAGUUUCUUCAAGAAUUGCAUGCGUUUUGAAAUUUAAAACUUCCCAUAUUACUUAAUAUUGACAUGCACAUGCAUUUAUCAGAAUGUUAUAGUUGAUAAUGAUAUAUCUUGUAAGCUUUCAUCAAAUAACUGUAAACUUAAAGAUUGCAUGCAAAAGGGAAAGGGUGAUACUGUGUCCUUUCCUAUUCUGUAAGUUUGACGGUAAGUAAAUAGUCUCUCUUUACUUUCACAUUUUUAUAUCUCAAAGUCUUUUAUUAACUUUAGCCAUUAUUUGAUAUUCUGUGAUGUUACAGUGAGGUAUAUGAAGUAUACUUUUAUCUUACCCAAUUAUCUUAAUAUUCACUUCCCUUAAUUAUUUCCAGAAAUUCCAUUGAAAGAAGUGUUAUAUUAAUGAUGGUGCCUCCAUCCUCCAAUGCAUUUUAUUUUUAUCUCACAGGCGGAGCCAUUUUAGGAAAAGGGUGAUCGGAUACAAAUCCAUCACCAGAAAAUUGGUGACAUAGAAAUUAAAUGGCAGUAGCAGUUAUGAGCGUAUAAUUAAUUUUACAUACAAAAAUUAAAUGACAAUAACAGUUACACUCUUACCAUAAUUAAAAAGAAAUUAAAAUAUAUACAUAUUUUGCUAUAUUGCUGGCUCUACCAGUGCUGCUUCACCUCAUUCCAUAGCCUCCUUCCCCACCACCCCUACCCCAUUGUCAACUUCCACACUAUAUACAUGUUAUAAUAAUAUCGUUUAAUUACUAUCCAAUGAGAGAGAAUACGUAAAAGUAAAAAAAGAAAAAAAAAUCACUUAUUUCCUUGGAAUUUAUCCAAUUUAUUCAAUGUGCUGUGACCUUUAGAGUGAUGUUGGAUUAGACUAUUUACGCGUGUACUGAUCAGAAAUUCAUCCCAAAUAAUUAAGAGUACUAUUGAAUUAGCCAUUAAAUAACUUUAGGAGCACUUCACAACUUCAUCCUCAGGUAAUUCAUCUUCUAUUUCUACUUUUACUAUUUUACUUACUUUGUUUUCUUUAUUGUCAACAGAAGUAAUCAUGUGCUUUUAUAAUUCUGGUUCUGUAGAAUUUCGAAAUCAAAAUUGUAUUUUUAUUUUAUGGGUAUAAUCAAAUCAGCUGAAAUUGAAUUGGUACUCCCGCCGUUUCAAUUUAUUCGUUAAACUUUUUAGUUCAUUUUAAUAAGAAUACAUCUUUUUUAUUUUGACUAUUCUUUGAUUCUAAUUUAGGCGUGGCCAACAAAUGGA
Capsicum annuum is the source of this 2350-nucleotide long non-coding RNA. RefSeq lists it as uncharacterized. Lineage: Eukaryota; Viridiplantae; Streptophyta; Magnoliopsida; Solanales; Solanaceae. The transcript has 3 exons. The record is from RefSeq and is a predicted model, not a curated record.